UUAAAAGAUUUUUAUUUUUCAAAAUCAUAUACAUUGUUAUGUACAACUGACAAACAAAUUUCAAUGUAUUGCUUACAACCACAUAUCAUGUGGUUAAGUGUAAAAUGUUAUAACAUCACAAUAGAUGAUGAAUAAAGAGUCGAGAAAUAAAAAGGAUAUCAUGUGCACUACAUACAUAACAGAAAUCUAACAAAACAGGCUAUACCAGGAAGACUAAAAAGUGAGAUCAGGAGUUCAUCUAUGUACACAGUCCAGAAUGUUACUACAUAUCCAACCUCACACAGAGAAAAUCUCUUGUGUAAUAAGAACAUUUCCUAUUUUCCCUUGCAUAAUCUAUAAUCCAUCUCUAAUUUCUUUUCUGUUUAUUAUUUAAGUAAUAAUUUAUCCCUUUAUAGUUGCAUAUUCUAACGCAAAAACAUAUAAAAAUCAAUUUUAGAUUGUAUUCUUUUCAAUAGGAAUGACAGACCUUGCUACACGUUAUUACAAUAUCUGUUGGAAGGAAUUUCUUUUGCACCUCCACUCAUUAAUUUCUAAGGUUGGGCACCCUCCACUCAUUAAUUUCUAAGGUUGGGCACCCUCCACUCAUUAAUUUCUAAGGUUGGGCACCCUCCCACUCAUUAAUUUCUAAGGUUGGGCACCCUCCACUCAUUAAUUUCUAAGGUUGGGCACCCUCUACUCAUUAAUUUCUAAGGUUGGGCACCCUCCACUCAUUAAUUUCUAAGGUUGGGCACCCUCCACUCAUUAAUUUCUAAGGUUGGGCACCCUCCACUCAUUAAUUUCUAAGGUUGGGCACCCUCCACUCAUUAAUUUCUAAGGUUGGCCACCCUCUACUCAUUAAUUUCUAAGGUUGGGCACCCUCCACUCAUUAAUUUCUAAGGUUGGGCACCCUCCACUCAUUAAUUUCUAAGGUUGGGUAUCUGGUUGCAUGGCAUACUCUAUCAUAUUUCUAAUCAUUUGGUGAGUAGUAAUGAUAUAAAAGUAUUUUGCAUAGGAAUUUUGAUAUUUGGUUGUUUGUGCCUAAAAGGAAAUAUUGCCUUUCUUCUAUAUCAUAUCAUCAAACUAAUAACUAGAUCUGUAAAUGGAAAUAAAACCUUAAAAAAAAAAGAAAAAAGAAAAA
Long non-coding RNA from Pecten maximus, 1117 nucleotides. RefSeq lists it as uncharacterized. The record is from RefSeq and is a predicted model, not a curated record. NCBI's taxonomy places the organism in Eukaryota, Metazoa, Mollusca, Bivalvia, Pectinida, Pectinidae. The transcript has 2 exons.